RNAcentral lists this ribosomal RNA (741 nucleotides) under metal-contaminated soil clone K20-40. Its description in RNAcentral is "bacterial SSU rRNA". It matches the Rfam family "Bacterial small subunit ribosomal RNA", at positions 56 to 845 of the family's 1533-position model. Lineage: Bacteria; Pseudomonadati; Pseudomonadota; Alphaproteobacteria. The record is from RNAcentral.
UGCAAGUCGAGCGCCCCGCAAGGGGAGCGGCGGACGGGUGAGUAACGCGUGGGAAUUUUCCUCAAGGUACGGAACAACCCAGGGAAACUUGGGCUAAUACCGUAUGAUGCAGAGAUGCCAAAGAUUUAUCGCCUUGGGAUAAGCCCGCGUCAGAUUAGGUAGUUGGUGGGGUAACGGCCUACCAAGCCUGCGAUCUGUAGCUGGUCUGAGAGGACGAUCAGCCACACUGGGACUGAGACACGGCCCAGACUCCUACGGGAGGCAGCAGUGGGGAAUCUUGCGCAAUGGGCGAAAGCCUGACGCAGCCAUGCCGCGUGAAUGAUGAAGGUCUUAGGAUUGUAAAGUUCUUUCGCCCGUGACGAUGAUGACGGUAACGGGAGAAGAAGCCCCGGCUAACUUCGUGCCAGCAGCCGCGGUAAUACGAAGGGGGCUAGCGUUGUUCGGAAUUACUGGGCGUAAAGCGCGCGUAGGCGGUUUUGCAAGCCAGAGGUGAAAUGCCUGAGCUUAACUUGGGAAUUGCCUUUGGGACUGCGAGGCUUUGAGGACGGGAGAGGUGAGUGGAAUUCCCAGUGUAGAGGUGAAAUUCGUAGAUAUUGGGAAGAACACCGGUGGCGAAGGCGGCUCACUGGCCCGUUUCUGACGCUCAAGCGCGAAAGCGUGGGGACCAAACAGGAUUAGAUACCCUGGUAGUCCACGCUGUAAACGAUGAGUGCUAGGCGUCGGCACGCUUGCGUGUCGGUG